UUACCAUCGUAUUAUUUUUCCAUUUCGUUUUGUGCUUUUUCUGCUGCCUUCCAUGUUAUUUUUCACGCUACGGUUCUGUUGAGUCGAGUAUUCUGCUUCAAACCAGUGAACACAGUUGUGAUGGUGAUUUGAGACAGGACUCCAGUAUUUUGAGAUAGGACGUGUAUUUGUUGUGUUUAUAAUUAUGUGUAGUGAACAUGUCGUACAAGAGGUGCUGUAUUCCAGGCUGUUCAUUUACUGCAGGUUUGUAAACGACAAACUACUUGAUAUCAACUGCAACCACCUACUACUUAGAUAGGUAAUGCUUUGAAAAGUAAGUUUAUUAUGGGCAUUUCUUGAUGAUGUUAGGGGGGCUGGAUAAACUAAAGAAACUCUGAAUCUUACAGGCUAGCUAGUUGAUCUAUGGUAUGGGCAAGGAUUUGACAUGUGUGAGGCAUCUCCUCUCACAUUUUGGUUGUAUGAGUAGGUAUCUUAAGAACAAAUUAUUAUAACAUUUUAAUAAAUUAAUUAUUAUCUUAUUUUCAGCUAACACCUCAAAGAUAUGUGGUAAAUUGAGCCAAACGGAGCUGGAGUUAUUUACAAAAUUAAAGCUUGCCAAAAGAAAACUAAAUAAGAGCAAGAAGAUUUCCAUUCAAGCUAGACAAAUAAAAGCAGCUAAGAAAAUAUCAACAAACCCAGCAUUUAUAAAAAUUAUGGAUGAUUUGCCAGCAUCUGCAAAAAUACCGCUUAUGCUACAGAUUCGGGAGCAAAAAAAAAGGAAAAGGAAGACGUUUUAGCAUGAAAAAGAAGAUUAUGGCAUUAUCUAUCAUGAAACAAAGUCCUAAGGCUUAUAGAUUUUUAAGAAAAACUUUGAUUUUGCCUGCGCCAAAUACAUUAAAAAAACUAUUGACCAGAGCAAACAUCAAGCCUGGCAUCAUAAGAACAUUUUUGACCAAUUGAAGACAAAAUCCAAAACAAUGAAAGAAAACGACAAAUUAUGUAUUUUAAUGUUUGAUGAGAUGUCCCUCAAAACAAAUGUUACAUAUAAUGAAAGAAAGGAUAGUGUAACAGGAUUUGUAACGAACAGAGAGGAAACAAAAAAAAAAUGCAAAUCAUGCACAAGUUUUUAUGAUACGAGGGCUACAAAGAAAUUAUAAGCAGCCAAUAUCAUAUUCAUUUUAAUCAGGGGCAACCAAGGGACCUGAACUUGCUCACCUAGUCAAAGAAAAUAUUAUAAAUUUUAAAGAAGCUGGAUUUAAGGUGGUUGCUACUGUUUGUGAUCAAGGCACAAAUAAUCGCCAAGCCAUCAAAUAUCUGAUAGACGAGACAACAGGUGAUUACUUGAGAAGAGGUGAAUGCCCAAAAGAUAAUAUUUUUGUUGUUAAUGGAAAUUAGAUAGUCCCAUUGUACGACCCCCCACAUCUUUUAAAGGGGAUAAGGAAUAAUCUCCUAACAAAAAAUCUUGUUUAUGAAAUGGACGGACAACAAAAAAUUGCCAAAUGGCAGCAUUUGCAGCAGCUACAUGGGGAAAUCCUGGCUACAAAGGUGUGAGGCUUGUACCAAAAUUGACAGACAACCACAUUUUUCCCCAAAAAAUUGGAAAAAUGAAAGUCAAAUAUUCAGUGCAACUGUUGCAUCGAACAUGGGAUACCUUGCAGACAAGAAAAUACUCCCUGAAGAAUGCAAUUAGACUGCAGAUAUAUUAUUAUAAUUUGAUAAAUUAUUUGAUUCAGUCAACGGUAGCUUCAAU
Plutella xylostella (diamondback moth) is the source of this 1729-nucleotide non-coding RNA. Lineage: Eukaryota; Metazoa; Arthropoda; Insecta; Lepidoptera; Plutellidae. The record is from RefSeq and is a predicted model, not a curated record.